This 253-nucleotide ribosomal RNA is filed under the name uncultured bacterium. RNAcentral describes it as "partial 16S ribosomal RNA". It matches the Rfam family "Bacterial small subunit ribosomal RNA", at positions 524 to 776 of the family's 1533-position model. The record is from RNAcentral.
UACGGACGGGGCAAGCGUUGUUCGGAAUCAUUGGGCGUAAAGGGCGCGUAGGUGGUUCUGUAUGUCUACCGUGAAAGCGUACGGCUCAACCGUAUUUUGUCGGUGGAAACUGCAGGACUUGAGGCUGGGAGGGGCUGGUGGAAUUCCCUGUGUAGCGGUGAAAUGCGUAGAGAUGGGGGAGAACACGCGUGGCGAAGGCGGCCAGCUAGACCAGUUCUGACACUGAGGCGCGACAGCGUGGGGAGCAAACAGG